CUGGUAGAUCCUACAGUAGUAGCACAUGCCAGUUUCAAAAGUUAAUCCACAGUAUUGUUGUGAAUGGCUGGAUGAGGGUUCAGCUCCUAUAUAGAUAACUGGUUAUUGUAGGACUGAUCCGCACCUGUGGCUUCAGUGACUCUGGUGAUUCUAGGUAACCUAGAUCAAUCACAUUUUCUCCCCACCCCCACCAUGGCCCUGUCACUCUUAGGUGGCAGUUGUAGUGCCUACUGAGGCGACCACUGUGACCAAGAAUCUUAAUAAUAGGGAAUCUCAAUUUGAUUCUGCAGAGAGAGAGCCUGAUAAAUUAAUACCCUAUCUAAAGAAUGCAGCAGGCGCACAAAUUACCCACUCCCAACCCUGGAGGAUAAUGAUUAAAACAAUAUAGAACUCUUUCAAGGCCCUGUAGUUGGAAAGAGUCCAGUUUAAAUCCUUUAAAGAGGAUCUAUUGCAGGGCAAGCCUGGUGCUGGCAGCCACGGUAAUCCCACUUUCAAUGUGGUGUGCUGAAUUCCUGGCAGUUAAAAUGCUUGUUUUUGGAUCUUAACGUGCUGCCGGGGUCCAUUGCAAGAAAGUCCAUGCCUCUUGUCUUUUUGGUACCUUACGGGCUCUUCUUCCCUGAGUUUCCCUGGAGCUGAAGUGUGCACUUGAAGAAAAUUAGUGUUCAAAGUAGCGUGGGCUGCCUGGAUACUGCUGGUGGGAAUCAUGGAAUGGGAGCGUGGUUCUAUUUUGUUUGUGUUGGAACUUUGAGGAAGCUUAUUAAGCAGGGCAGUUGGGGCAUUAGUAUUGCACCGCUAGGACUCAAAUUCUGGGCCAGUAAUAAGACUGAUCAGAGUGAAAGUUUUUGCCAAGGAUGUUUUCAUUAACCAAGAAUGAAGGUGAAAGUGGGAAGUUUAAAGAUGUUCAGGUCCUGUGUAGUUACGAACAUAAAUGUGAUGUUGACCACUGCAUUAAUGCCCAUGACCCACUAGCAGCUUCCAGGAAACCAGAGCCCUUUG
Ribosomal RNA from Homo sapiens (human), 996 nucleotides. It matches the Rfam family "Eukaryotic small subunit ribosomal RNA", at positions 4 to 1116 of the family's 1831-position model. Lineage: Eukaryota; Metazoa; Chordata; Mammalia; Primates; Hominidae. The record is from Rfam.